AUAUACAGCCCCAGCACCCUGAGAACGCCCCAUCUCAUGUGAUGUGGGAAGCUAAGCAGGGUCGGCCCCGGUCAGCGCUUGGAUGGGAGACCAGCUGGGAAGGAGGGUGCUCAAUGGG
RNAcentral lists this ribosomal RNA (118 nucleotides) under Patagioenas fasciata monilis. Lineage: Eukaryota; Metazoa; Chordata; Aves; Columbiformes; Columbidae. The record is from RNAcentral.